UUGUUGUAGAACGAAGAGAAGGUUAGCAUUCCCCUUGACAAGGAUGGAAGAGACUUCGACCUGCAACACACAUAUGAUUAAGGAUCUCAAUAUGUGUUUAAUAAAUGACUAUAUACAAUAUGCUUU
Molecule: small nuclear RNA, 126 nt
Organism: Sorex fumeus (smoky shrew)
Lineage: Eukaryota; Metazoa; Chordata; Mammalia; Eulipotyphla; Soricidae
Source: RefSeq, a predicted model, not a curated record